This 159-nucleotide ribosomal RNA is filed under the name uncultured bacterium. RNAcentral's name for it is "partial 16S ribosomal RNA". It matches the Rfam family "Bacterial small subunit ribosomal RNA", at positions 1342 to 1500 of the family's 1533-position model. The record is from RNAcentral.
UGGCAGGUCAGCAUACUGCCGUGAAUACGUUCCCGGGCCUUGUACACACCGCCCGUCACACCAUGAGAGUUGGAGAUACCCGAAGCCUGUGAGCUAACAGAAAUGGAGCAGCAGUCGAAGGUAGAAUCAAUGAUUGGGGUGAAGUCGUAACAAGGUAGC